CAACAUUGAUUCUCACCCUAUUAUACUCCUUUCCAUGAUUUACAGUAAUAGACACUGGUGGUGAACAGAUAUAGAGCCUGGAAUCCAGUGAGGUCACAGGGCCUCUGAGAGCCGGUGAAGCUGCACAGAAUCUGAGGACACAGCUAGGCAUGCUCCAGCUGCCCUGCAUUCUUUACCCCCAUUGUCUUCAGCCCCUCCCCACUCCCCAGCCUGAAGUCAGAGCUCAGGGCCCCUGCACAGACAGUGCUCACCGAGAUGUUAAUUCAGCACAAAGGAAAGAGUGCACUCUUCGGCUUGCCCUGACUGCUGAUGUUUCGGGACUCCCACUGGCCUGCUUGUGGGCAGGCACUGCACUGCUGUCACAGCCCUGGAGCUGGAAGAGUUUAAUCCCCAGCGAGGUAGGAAUGGGGAAAUUGGUCAGGAUCCCCAGCAGGCUCCUUGGAACUCUGUGCACAGGAAAUGAGAAGGGCACUGCAGUGUUUCAGGAAACAAGACUCCAGUGGCCGCAGGCUGGCAGGACACCCAG
Molecule: long non-coding RNA, 526 nt
Filed under: Fukomys damarensis (Damara mole-rat)
Lineage: Eukaryota; Metazoa; Chordata; Mammalia; Rodentia; Bathyergidae
Description: lncRNA (ENSFDAG00000029067.1)
Source: RNAcentral